AAUCAACGCUGGCGGCGUGCCUAACACAUGCAAGUCGAGCGAGAAAGGGGGGCAACCCCUGAGUAAAGCGGCAGACGGGUGAGUAACACGUGAACAAUCUACCCUCGAGUGGGGAACAACACCGCGAAAGCGGUGCUAAUACCGCAUAAAGUUCUUGGGUUGCAUGACCUGAGGAUUAAAGCGCAAGUUGCUUGAGGAGGAGUUCGCGGCUGAUUAGCUAGUUGGUGAGGAACGGCCCACCAAGGCGACGAUCAGUAGCCGGCCUGAGAGGGUGAACGGCCACACUGGAACUGAGACACGGUCCAGACUCCUACGGGAGGCAGCAGUGGGGAAUUUUGCGCAAUGGGCGAAAGCCUGACGC
This 361-nucleotide ribosomal RNA is filed under the name uncultured bacterium. RNAcentral's name for it is "bacterial SSU rRNA". It matches the Rfam family "Bacterial small subunit ribosomal RNA", at positions 32 to 389 of the family's 1533-position model. The record is from RNAcentral.